UAACUGCGAGUGAAGCGGGAAAAGCUCAAAUUUAAAAUCUGGCAGUCUUUGGCUGUCCGAGUUGUAAUCUAGAGAAGUAAUGCCCGCGCUGGACCGUGUACAAGUCUCCUGGAAUGGAGCGUCAUAGAGGGUGAGAAUCCCGUCUCUGACACGGACUACCAGGGCUUUGUGGUAUGCUCUCAAAGAGUCGAGUUGUUUGGGAAUGCAGCUCAAAAUGGGUGGUAAAUUCCAUCUAAAGCUAAAUAUUGGCGAGAGACCGAUAGCGAACAAGUACCGUGAGGGAAAGAUGAAAAGAACUUUGGAAAGAGAGUUAAACAGUACGUGAAAUUGCUGAAAGGGAAACGCUUGAAGUCAGUCGCGUUGGCUAGAGAUCAGCCUCACUCUUUGUGUGGUGUACUUUCUGGUUGACGGGUCAGCAUCAAUUUUGAUUGCUGGAAAAAGGCUUGGGGGAAUGUGGCAGCUCCGGCUGUGUUAUAGCCCCUGGUCACAUACAGCAGUUGGGAUUGAGGAACUCAGCACGCCGCAAGGCCGGGUUUCGACCACGUUCGUGCUUAGGAUGCUGGCAUAAUGGCUUUAAGCGACCCGUCUUGAAACACGGACCAAGGAGUCUAACAUGCCUGCGAGUGUUUGGGUGGAAAACCCGAGUGCGUAAUGAAAGUGAAAGUUGAGAUCCCUGUCGCGGGGAGCAUCGACGCCCGGACCAGAACUUUUGGGACGGAUCCGCGGUAGAGCAUGUAUGUUGGGACCCGAAAGAUGGUGAACUAUGCCUGAAUAGGGUGAAGCCAGAGGAAACUCUGGUGGAGGCUCGUAGCGAUUCUGACGUGCAAAUCGAUCGUCAAAUUUGGGUA
RNAcentral lists this ribosomal RNA (848 nucleotides) under Chlorophyllum olivieri. Its description in RNAcentral is "eukaryotic LSU rRNA". It matches the Rfam family "Eukaryotic large subunit ribosomal RNA", at positions 84 to 917 of the family's 3401-position model. Lineage: Eukaryota; Fungi; Basidiomycota; Agaricomycetes; Agaricales; Agaricaceae. The record is from RNAcentral.